This 250-nucleotide ribosomal RNA is filed under the name uncultured bacterium. RNAcentral describes it as "partial 16S ribosomal RNA". It matches the Rfam family "Bacterial small subunit ribosomal RNA", at positions 524 to 773 of the family's 1533-position model. The record is from RNAcentral.
UACGUAGGAUCCAAGCGUUGUCCGGAAUUACUGGGUGUAAAGGGUGCGCAGGCGGACUUGUGCGUCGGAGGUUAAAUCCAUCGGCUCAACCGGUGAACCGCCUUUGAUACGGCAAGUCUUGAGUGCGAGAGAGGAUAGUGGAAUUCCUGGUGUAGCGGUGAAAUGCGUAGAUAUCAGGAGGAACACCUGUGGUGAAGACGGCUAUCUGGCUCGCAACUGACGCUCAGGCACGAAAGCGUGGGGAGCAAAC